UACGGGGGGGGCAAGCGUUGUUCGGAAUUACUGGGCGUAAAGGGCUCGUAGGCGGCCAACUAAGUCAGACGUGAAAUCCCUCAGCUUAACUGGGGAACUGCGUGUGAUACUGGAUGGCUUGGAUUUGGGAGAGGGAUGCGGAAUUCCAGGUGUAGCGGUGAAAUGCGUAGAUAUCGGGAGGAACACCAGUGGCGAAGGCGACUACCUGGCCUGUUUCUUGACGCUGAGGCGCGAAAGCUAGGGGAGCAAACGGG
Molecule: ribosomal RNA, 254 nt
Filed under: uncultured bacterium
Lineage: Bacteria
Description: partial 16S ribosomal RNA
Rfam family: Bacterial small subunit ribosomal RNA
Source: RNAcentral